ACGGGUGAGUAACACGUGGGUGAUCUGCCCUGCACUUCGGGAUAAGCCUGGGAAACUGGGUCUAAUACCGGAUAUGACCUCAGGUUGCAUGACUUGGGGUGGAAAGAUUUAUCGGUGCAGGAUGGGCCCGCGGCCUAUCAGCUUGUUGGUGGGGUAAUGGCCUACCAAGGCGACGACGGGUAGCCGACCUGAGAGGGUGACCGGCCACACUGGGACUGAGACACGGCCCAGACUCCUACGGGAGGCAGCAGUGGGGAAUAUUGCACAAUGGGCGAAAGCCUGAUGCAGCGACGGCGCGUGAGGGAUGACGGCCUUCGGGUUGUAAACCUCUUUCAGCAGGGACGAAGCGCAAGUGACGGUACCUGCAGAAGAAGCACCGGCUAACUACGUGCCAGCAGCCGCGGUGAUACGUAGGGUGCAAGCGUCGUCCGGAAUUACUGGGCGUAAAGAGUUCGUAGGCGGUUUGUCGCGUCGUUUGUGAAAACCAGCAGCUCAACUGCUGGCUUGCAGGCGAUACGGGCAGACUUGAGUACUGCAGGGGAGACUGGAAUUCCUGGUGUAGCGGUGAAA
This 570-nucleotide ribosomal RNA is filed under the name uncultured bacterium. RNAcentral describes it as "bacterial SSU rRNA". It matches the Rfam family "Bacterial small subunit ribosomal RNA", at positions 102 to 686 of the family's 1533-position model. The record is from RNAcentral.